Molecule: long non-coding RNA, 3844 nt
Organism: Lutra lutra (Eurasian river otter)
Lineage: Eukaryota; Metazoa; Chordata; Mammalia; Carnivora; Mustelidae
Exons: 3
Source: RefSeq, a predicted model, not a curated record
CAUGACCUGAGGGGAAAUCAAGAGUUGGAUACUUAACUGACUGAGCUACCCAGGUGUCCCCAUACAAGAAAUGAUUUUUGAGUAUCUGUAAUGUAUUAGCUGUAGAUUCUGGUUAUACAGAGUUACAAAGAAAAAGUCUUGGAAGAAGAACAUGGUGUAACUUGGUUAGAGAAUAUUCCUGUUAUACCUGUCAUCUAAACAGCGGUCGGAGAGGCUGUGAGAAUCUGUUUGCAAGCUCGAGCUGUUGGGGGCCCUGCAUACUAAUAACAAUGAGUACCACGUACAUCUUUCCCUCUGGAGAUCAUCAUAAUAAUUCUUUAGGGGAAGAGUGUUAUUAUGCUCUUUCCUCCUGGGGGCAACUAGGUGAAGUUGACAGUAAGUGGUAAAAUCUGAGAUAAAAUCCAAAUUCUAAGUUUACUCUGGUUGUUAGUGAGUUCCUGACUCCUUUGUUAAAGUCUCUGACCUCAGCCUUUGGACAGGGGAAGAAAAUCAACAAUAUUAAGAAAUAGCAACAACAAUAAUAGAUAAUGGCAUUCAGUUUGGCCUUGGCCAGAACAAGACCAUAAGAAUGGUUUUAUAAAAAUGAUACACAGUAUGUUUGUGUUAGUGUUGUCCCAAACACCUCCGUUAUUUCUAAGUUUUUUCCUGAAGGAAAGAAGGCUCUUCUUGACUAGAGGAGAGCUGGAAAAUCUGAGCUGCUUCUGCUUAUUCUAAUAGUCCCAGGAUCUGGGAAAAGAUUACUGUGUGAGCACGAUGAAAACAAGGCUAUGCUCCCAAGGCAGGUAGAGGUGACUGGCACUGGUCAAAGAGGUAUGUGGUCAUCAGGUUCCAGAAUCUGAUUUCAUUCUUUUGGACCAUGGAGUCAAAUGGAACCUCAAUACCCCAGGGGGCAAAUGCAGUCUUAAUUAUCUCAUAAAUGUUCUGGCUCAGUUUCUCCCUGUUCUUUAUCAGACUUUGAGAACCUACUAAGCUGCAAGUCUAUGGCUAGGCUGUGGGGACAACAAAGAGGAUUUGGCCCGACUGACCACCUUCUCCAGGUUCUUGUGGUCUAAUAUUCUAUGACUCUAUUUCACGGGCUUCUGUACCUGAAUAUUUCUGGAACACCAUGACUGGCUUUUGUGAUGAGAAUCUCUCUAGUACUAGGUCUAGCUACUCUGUCUCCCUUCAAAUGAAAUAACUGUAUCUCGUUAAAUGUAUUAUCCCAGGGACAUCUGGCUUUGGGAAGGGAUCAGCCAAUUCUAUAGUUAGGUGUGUUAAGUUUCUUUCUUUAUUUAAAUAGAUUUAUUUUUUUCAAAGCAGUUUUGAGCAAAAAGUAGAGGUAUUGAGAUUUCCUAUAGGCCCCCUACUCCCACACAUGUGUAGCCUCUCCCAUUAUCAGCAACCCCCACUGGAGUGGACAAUUGUUACUAUUUAUGGGCCUACGCCAUUAUCUAGAGUCCAUAGUUUACCUUAGGGCUUUCUCUUGGCUCAUUUUGGUGCUAUACAUGCUGUGGUUUGGAUAAAUGGGUAAUGACAUGUAUCUACAAUUAUAGUAUCAUAUAGAGUAUUUUCACUGCCUUAAAGAUCCUCUGUGUUCUGCCUCUUCCCCAUCUUCCUCCCCUCUAGACCCUGUGUAAAUGUGUUUUUCUUUGUCUGCAAUAACUCUCAAAUAUCAGACUUUCUGAUUUUUGUUUUAUUUUGUUUUACCUCCUCUCAUCCCUUUUCACAGAGAGGACAUUGGGGAAUCAGCCACUAAAAAUGAGAGGGAGAACAUGUAUACUUUGAUCCUAUCCAUGAAAUUACCAUUUCCCCCACACUGUAGCUCAUCUGCCUGAAACUCCAUGACUAAGAAAGAUUCCAGAUCAACUGAUUGUGCCAUUCUUGAGGGCAAUGGUAGAUGUCUUCCUGAUACCACAUUCUUAGACACCCUCUGCCUCAAGGUUUCUCUGAAUCCAGUUUCAGUUAUGGAUUUAGAUGAGAAAAAUAAGAAUUUAUUUGUCAUGCCUGUGGCACUUCAAAGAGAGCAGAAGAACUCCUCUCAUAGAAACUGUCCAGUAGGGAACAGAAUACUGGGGAGUCAUAUUUUAUAGUCAGAUUUUAAUCCCAACCCCCAACCCUUCUAUCUGUGCUGGGUAGAAGAUAACAGUGGGAUUAUAGUAUCAACUCUACUGAUUACUAAAUUCUCAGUACUUACUGUGUUCUGGCUCUGUCCCAAGCUGCACCACUAUAGGAGGUAGAUACUAUUAUUCCCUUGUUGCAUCUGGAAAAACUGAGGCAUAGAGAUGUUAAGGAAUUAGUUUAGGGACAGUGCUGGGAUUGGAACCUAGACACUCUCAUCUUACCUUUCUAGACCUCAGGUUCCUUCAAAUUGAAGUGAAGGUAUUGGGCCAUAUAAUCUCUAAGUUUAUUUCUAUUCUAAAACUCUAUGAGUCUUUGGGAUUUUACAGAUGGGGACCCCACUGUGACAACUGCAGGCUGCUUUGGUUCACGCAGAAAUCAUGAGAAGUACUGGUGAGUGCCCUGAUGAGCUAGUUCCGUCAAGACCGUAGGAGAUUUCCCUGCUGACUCCCUGUUUUAUUUUUGGUUUUGUUUUUUAGGACAUGAAGGUGGUACCCAUUGAGCCAAAGAGCUCAGUAUCUGUUUGUUAAAAGGAAGCAGGAAUUGACCCAUUUUUCUGAAGCCAAAGAAGCAGUAUCAAGUCCUAAAGAUAUUCAGUAAAUUUGGAAUAACACCCACCCCAGAGGACUGUUGAGAGACUCAAGAGAGAAGGUUCAGAGGAAUGCAGGAUCCUUUCCUUGUAUCUUCUCUGCCAUCCCUACAAUGUCACCCUCAUCCAGGUGGUUCAAGAUGAUUUACUACCAUACCCACAUCUCAUACAGCAGAAAGCGGGGGAAGAUGGAUGUGAAAGGUCUCUUGGAUCUGGUCCUAAAUGAUAUUUCAGACUUUCACUACCUCCUCUUCCAGCCUCCCCCUCAGCCGCUCACUAUAUUCUCCAUCACCAACUCUUCUGUAAUGAGAUUAGUUAAUCUUACAGCUUUAACUCAUUCUUCAAGGUCCAUUUCAAGCUAUAAUCAUGACAGCUGCCAAUCACCCAUCAUUUAUUAUAUUCCAGUUACCAGUUUACACAGAUUCCUUCAUGCAAUUUUCACAAAGACCCUGUGAAACCAUUGCUGUCAGGAAAAAAGAAGGGUAGAGUAACAUGGGCAAGUCUGAGAUCUCAUAAGAACUUGGAUUCAUGUCCAGACGAUCUGAGUCCACAACCCCAGUUUUUAGUCGUGAUUCUACUGCUCACAUGAUGAUGAAUUCAAUACAUCAUGUCAGAAUUCAAUACAGAUGAACGACCAUUUAUUUGGCAACUGCCAUGCAUAAGUCACUGUCACAGACUCUGGAGGUGUCGACAAUGGAAAGUUGAUUAAGAUGGUUCCAGCCAUCUUACUGACACAUUCUUCCUCUAGGUUCCCAAAUUGAUUACAGUUGACAUGACAUGAUGCUUUGAACACUGGUGUUCAUGCACAUUUUUGUCACCACCAAUACACUAUUACUUCCUUUUGCCUAGAGGCCUUUCUGUUUGUUUGCCUUCUAUAAAGGUAAACAAAGAUAUGUUUAUUGAAUUCAAAAGAAUUUCAUUCUUACUUCAACUUGUUCCGUCUUCCCCAGGGAACUUUCUGGGGCCCCAUCCUGUUCCUGCUGGAAAACAAUGUUAAUCAACUACUUGGGGGACCUGGGCCUUUUUCAUUUCAGCAUCUAAUAAUAAUAGCUAAUUUUUAUUAUGUACUUUCUUUAUUCUAGGCAUUUUUUAAAAAGAUUUUAUUUAUUUAUUUAUUUGACAAAGAGAGAGAUCACAAGUAGGCAGAGUCAGGCAGAG